GCAUGUGGUUUAAUUCGAAGCAACGCGAAGAACCUUACCAGGCCUUGACAUGCAGAGAACUUUCCAGAGAUGGAUUGGUGCCUUCGGGAACUCUGACACAGGUGCUGCAUGGCUGUCGUCAGCUCGUGUCGUGAGAUGUUGGGUUAAGUCCCGUAACGAGCGCAACCCUUGUCCUUAGUUACCAGCACGUUAUGGUGGGCACUCUAAGGAGACUGCCGGUGACAAACCGGAGGAAGGUGGGGAUGGCGUCAAGUCAUCAUGGCCCUUACGUCCAGGGCUACACACGUGUUUCAAUGGCCGGUACAAUGAGUUGCGACCCUGCAAAGGUAAGCCAAUCUCAAAAAACCGGUCUCAGUUCGGAUUGCAGUCUGCAACUCGACUGCAUGAAGUGGGAAUCGCUAGUAAUCGUA
Molecule: ribosomal RNA, 410 nt
Filed under: uncultured Pseudomonas sp.
Lineage: Bacteria; Pseudomonadati; Pseudomonadota; Gammaproteobacteria; Pseudomonadales; Pseudomonadaceae
Description: bacterial SSU rRNA
Rfam family: Bacterial small subunit ribosomal RNA
Source: RNAcentral